GGUUAAGCGACUAAGCGUACACGGUGGAUGCCCUGGCAGUCAGAGGCGAUGAAGGACGUGCUAAUCUGCGAUAAGCGUCGGUAAGGUGAUAUGAACCGUUAUAACCGGCGAUUUCCGAAUGGGGAAACCCAGUGUGAUUCGUCACACUAUCAUUACGUGAAUACAUAGCGUAAUGAAGCGAACCGGGGGAACUGAAACAUCUAAGUACCCCGAGGAAAAGAAAUCAACCGAGAUUCCCCCAGUAGCGGCGAGCGAACGGGGAGCAGCCCAGAGUCUGAAUCAGCUUGUGUGUUAGUGGAACGGUCUGGAAAGUCCGACGGUACAGGGUGAUAGUCCCGUACACCAAAAUGCACAGGUUGUGAACUCGAAGAGUAGGGCGGGACACGUGGUAUCCUGUCUGAAUAUGGGGGGACCAUCCUCCAAGGCUAAAUACUCCUGACUGACCGAUAGUGAACCAGUACCGUGAGGGAAAGGCGAAAAGAACCCCGGCGAGGGGAGUGAAAAAGAACCUGAAACCGUGUACGUACAAGCAGUGGGAGCAUCCUUUUGGGUGUGACUGCGUACCUUUUGUAUAAUGGGUCAGCGACUUAUAUUCUGUAGCAAGGUUAACCGUAUAGGGGAGCCGAAGGGAAACCGAGUCUUAACUGGGCGUUAAGUUGCAGGGUAUAGACCCGAAACCCGGUGAUCUAGCCAUGGGCAGGUUGAAGGUUGGGUAACACUAACUGGAGGACCGAACCGACUAAUGUUGAAAAAUUAGCGGAUGACUUGUGGCUGGGGGUGAAAGGCCAAUCAAACCGGGAGAUAGCUGGUUCUCCCCGAAAGCUAUUUAGGUAGCGCCUCGUGAAUUCAUCUUCGGGGGUAGAGCACUGUUUCGGCUAGGGGGUCAUCCCGACUUACCAACCCGAUGCAAACUGCGAAUACCGAAGAAUGUUAUCACGGGAGACACACGGCGGGUGCUAACGUCCGUCGUGAAGAGGGAAACAACCCAGACCGCCAGCUAAGGUCCCAAAGUCAUGGUUAAGUGGGAAACGAUGUGGGAAGGCACAGACAGCCAGGAUGUUGGCUUAGAAGCAGCCAUCAUUUAAAGAAAGCGUAAUAGCUCACUGGUCGAGUCGGCCUGCGCGGAAGAUGUAACGGGGCUAAACCAUGCACCGAAGCUGCGGCAGCGACACUAUGUGUUGUUGGGUAGGGGAGCGUUCUGUAAGCCGUUGAAGGUGUAUCGUGAGGUAUGCUGGAGGUAUCAGAAGUGCGAAUGCUGACAUAAGUAACGAUAAUGCGGGUGAAAAACCCGCACGCCGGAAGACCAAGGGUUCCUGUCCAACGUUAAUCGGGGCAGGGUGAGUCGACCCCUAAGGCGAGGCCGAAAGGCGUAGUCGAUGGGAAACAGGUUAAUAUUCCUGUACUUGGUGUUACUGCGAAGGGGGGACGGAGAAGGCUAUGUUAGCCGGGCGACGGUUGUCCCGG
RNAcentral lists this ribosomal RNA (1464 nucleotides) under Citrobacter freundii. RNAcentral's name for it is "partial 23S ribosomal RNA". It matches the Rfam family "Bacterial large subunit ribosomal RNA", at positions 1 to 1510 of the family's 2925-position model. The record is from RNAcentral. Lineage: Bacteria; Pseudomonadati; Pseudomonadota; Gammaproteobacteria; Enterobacterales; Enterobacteriaceae.